CGAAGCACAGGCUUGGGGCAACCCUGCCCUUGAAGAUGCUUCCUGCUUUUCAUUUCGUGAUGUGAGCUCAUCCCUCAUUCAGCCCUCCAGCUUCAUUUCCCUAACCUUGGGAUAAAGCUAUUUAAUCCUCUCUUUUUCCUCACAGCCAUCAUAAAGGGUGCAAGAUCAUUCCUAUUACCCCCUCAUGGCACAGGAGCGUCCCCGUUCCCCUUCAGGAUCUUCGCUGUCAAGGCCUCCUUCCUGGAGUGAAUCGCAGGCAGCCCUCAGGAGUGCACAGACCCCACUUCUGCAAGCAUGCGCUCCCACCCAGCACUGAAGGCUGCUCUACUCUGUGAUACACACAAGUCCCUUGGCCACUAAAAAGCCAGGGCUGACCUCCUCUGUGUACUUGUCCCAUUCUCCAUUGAAGAGAAUGGUCUACUCAGCCCCAUGUGUCCCUGAGAACAUGACCUGACAGUACAUGAAGGUUUAUUCCGAAUAACGACUUUUUUUUUUCUUGUUGCCCAGGCUGUAGUGCAGUGGCACGAUCUCAGCUCACUGCAACCUCUGCCUCCCAGGUUCAAGCGAUUCUCCUGCCUCAGCCUCCAGAGUAGCUGGGAAUACAGGCAUCUGCCACCACGCCCAGGGCAGAUAAACAUUGUGUCACUGCCCCGGUGCAGUGGAUGGAACCAGAAAGCCAGUGGCUGAGGAAGCAGGAGGAGCCAAAGUGGUGGAGGCAGCCUGCCUGCGGGUCCCAUUCCUGACUUUAAGAAAUGUUCUACUUGACAAGAGAUGACAGUGCCUUUAGGGAGGAGAAGGGACAUCUUUCCAAAGCAGCAAAUUCUUAUUGUGGAUGAAGUCAGUUCUUCAUUGGUCACAAGGACAACCCCAGAGAGUCACCCAUAGAGAAACCCUGUGCUUGGGGUUUGUCAAGGAAACGAGGAGACACGGUCUUAUUCUGUCACCCAGGCUGAAGUGCAAUGGUUUGAUCCUAGCUCACCGCAGCCUGAAACUUCUGGGCUCAAGUGAUCCUCCCAGCUCAGCCUCUCAAGUCUGGGAUUACAGGCAUGAGUCACUGUACCCAGGCUAA
This 1069-nucleotide long non-coding RNA is filed under the name Callithrix jacchus (white-tufted-ear marmoset). Its description in RNAcentral is "lncRNA (ENSCJAG00000062550.2)". Lineage: Eukaryota; Metazoa; Chordata; Mammalia; Primates; Cebidae. The record is from RNAcentral.